UACGAGUGCCCCAAGCGUUAUCCGGAAUCCUUGGGCGUAAAGGGUGUGUAGGUGGUGUAGUUAGUCUUCUGUAAAAGCCUCGGGCUCAACUCGAGACCUGCAGAGGAAACGGCUACACUAGAGGGUGCGAGGGGUGAAUGGAACUCAAGGAGUAGGGGUGAAAUCCGUUGAUAUCAUGGGGAACACAAAAGCGAAGGCAAUUCACUGGCGCAUUCCUGACACUGAGACACGAAAGCGUGGGUAGCGAACGGG
Molecule: unclassified non-coding RNA, 252 nt
Filed under: uncultured Parcubacteria group bacterium
Lineage: Bacteria
Description: contains 16S-23S intergenic spacer region
Rfam family: Bacterial small subunit ribosomal RNA
Source: RNAcentral